GAUGGUGGUUAUGGCGAUAAGGAAACACCUGUUCCCAUCCCGAACACAGUAGUUAAGCUUAUCUGCGCCGAUGGUACUGCUCUGGUAACGGAGUGGGAGAGUAGGUCACCGCCAUCA
RNAcentral lists this ribosomal RNA (117 nucleotides) under Bacteroidota bacterium. Lineage: Bacteria; Pseudomonadati; Bacteroidota. The record is from RNAcentral.